CACAUGCAAGUCGAACGAUGAAGCCCUUCGGGGUGGAUUAGUGGCGAACGGGUGAGUAACACGUGGGCAAUCUGCCCUUCACUCUGGGACAAGCCCUGGAAACGGGGUCUAAUACCGGAUAUUACUCCUGCCUGCAUGGGCGGGGGUUGAAAGCUCCGGCGGUGAAGGAUGAGCCCGCGGCCUAUCAGCUUGUUGGUGGGGUAAUGGCCCACCAAGGCGACGACGGGUAGCCGGCCUGAGAGGGCGACCGGCCACACUGGGACUGAGACACGGCCCAGACUCCUACGGGAGGCAGCAGUGGGGAAUAUUGCACAAUGGGCGAAAGCCUGAUGCAGCGACGCCGCGUGAGGGAUGACGGCCUUCGGGUUGUAAACCUCUUUCAGCAGGGAAGAAGCGAAAGUGACGGUACCUGCAGAAGAAGCGCCGGCUAACUACGUGCCAGCAGCCGCGGUAAUACGUAGGGCGCAAGCGUUGUCCGGAAUUAUUGGGCGUAAAGAGCUCGUAGGCGGCUUGUCACGUCGGAUGUGAAAGCCCGAGGCUUAACCUCGGGUCUGCAUUCGAUACGGGCUAGCUAGAGUGUGGUAGGGGAGAUCGGAAUUCCUGGUGUAGCGGUGAAAUGCGCAGAUAUCAGGAGGAACACCGGUGGCGAAGGCGGAUCUCUGGGCCAUUACUGACGCUGAGGAGCGAAAGCGUGGGGAGCGAACAGGAUUAGAUACCCUGGUAGUCCACGCCGUAAACGUUGGGAACUAGGUGUUGGCGACAUUCCACGUCGUCGGUGCCGCAGCUAACGCAUUAAG
This 797-nucleotide ribosomal RNA is filed under the name Streptomyces sp. LCK-2009.22. RNAcentral's name for it is "bacterial SSU rRNA". It matches the Rfam family "Bacterial small subunit ribosomal RNA", at positions 52 to 864 of the family's 1533-position model. Lineage: Bacteria; Bacillati; Actinomycetota; Actinomycetes; Kitasatosporales; Streptomycetaceae. The record is from RNAcentral.